Thalassophryne amazonica is the source of this 101-nucleotide long non-coding RNA. RefSeq lists it as uncharacterized. The record is from RefSeq and is a predicted model, not a curated record. The transcript has 3 exons. Lineage: Eukaryota; Metazoa; Chordata; Actinopteri; Batrachoidiformes; Batrachoididae.
UUUGAGAGUCUAUGGAUGCUGUACUGGGCCGUCAUGGUGAAGGAGGAGCUGAGCUAGAAGGCGAGACUCAAUUUUUCAGUCGAUUUAGGCUCCGAUCUUCA